This is a long non-coding RNA of Diuraphis noxia (Russian wheat aphid), 526 nucleotides long. RefSeq lists it as uncharacterized. The record is from RefSeq and is a predicted model, not a curated record. Lineage: Eukaryota; Metazoa; Arthropoda; Insecta; Hemiptera; Aphididae.
UAUAACCAGCUUGUUAUAAUACAAUAUCCAUCACCACCAAAAUACAAAAUUCUGGUCAUGAGAAAGCGAUUUGUACUUUAAACUUUGUUUCUGCUGGACUACCGUCGAGGCACCGUCAAGCUACCCCACAAUGAACAGUCCAAAUAAAUUAAUUUUUAAAAUUGAAAAUUGUCCCAAUAUGCAGGUGAAUUACCGUAAUAAUUCACCUGCAUAUACCAGGGGCAGUAAGAUGCCUGCACGCCGUUGUUAUAAUUGCAUAUGGUUACGGGCAUAUCGCCCGUAAAUGCAAAAAACCGAAAAAAAAGUCGGCUAAGGCCGCCCCGACCAAUAAUAAGGGGACGCCAGUGACGGCGACGGCCAGCAGCACGGCYGUGCAGGCGGCAACGUCGACGACCGCUAACCUUACCUAACCGCCACGGCAACCACGACCACGACGACCAAAUCGGCGUCAGAAUAAUUAAAAAACUGUAAUGAAUAUUAUUUACAUUUUUAAAUUAUUUAUUUGUGGAUAUAAGGAAAUAGUCUC